GGGGAGCCAGAGGAGGUCAAAGGUUAAGGGAUCUAGAACAACACUCAUGUGAGAGGUAUAGAAAAUAGGACACAUUAAAAAAAAAAUUAUUUAACUUUGAGCUGUUCUGACUGGAGAUCUGUAGGUUGAAUAUCUACAUUUCUGAUGUUUUCUUAAUUCCACUCAGUAUUGAAUGCAUCUAAAGAUUGUUUUGAUCUGGAAAGGCAUCAACAAUCAUUAUCAAAAUCAUUAUUGUUCAGAAAACAAGGUAGACUGCAAGGCAUUUCUAGAAGAGACAAAAUAAAACAGAAUAAAGGAGACAUUAUUGUAUCAGGAAUAGCGGGGAAAAAAGUCAAAGAAAAGAGAUUUUCUGAACAGCAAACAACCUAAAUAUCUGGAAAAACAACCACAAUAGUAAUUCCUGUUAAAUCCUUGUGAUAACUUAUAGUCAAAAUAUAUGGUUAUAACUCAAAUAACUAAAAACAACAACAAAACAUUAAAGUUAUUUCUAAAAUUAGAGGUAAAAUUUUCAAAAACCAUCUUAUUCAGAUGUUAUAUUUCAUAACAUUCUUCUACUUGUUGGGGAAAUUAGGACCUAAAGCUUCCAGAAGAUUAGUCAAUUUGCCACAAAUAAGGGCGAACUUACUGGAUACACACUGGAUAUAUUUACUGUACUUGUGACUAGUGACAUUUAAAUAAAUUACAGCUCCCACCACAAAACAAGGAAGCAAAAAAAAUGUUCAAAAGCUACUGACUAAAACACAAAUGGAUCUGCACAAACCAUAAGCAUCAACUGCACUGGAAAACAGACAAAAUCAUCACCUUGACACUUUGUUGAGUUUCUGAGUCAGAGAGAUAAAGUAAUCGUUAUCAAAUGUGAAAAACACUUUAAAAUGCCUUGUAAUGGGGAAGCAACAAAUAUUGUUUGGCUAACAGUUUUAUUUUAGCUUGAGAAACUGUUUCUGAGCUUCAGUCAGAAGUGACAUAAUUACUGAAAAGAGAUGUUACUUCCUGAGCCUUUAUUAGCAUUACUUCAUUACUUCUGCUUUAACAGGUCCGCCUUCUUCCUCCCACCCCCUUUAGCGUUUUCUUUAGUAUUGACAUACGUCAAUGAUUUCAAUGUGGUUCAAGUGGUGACUUGAUUGAUUUACUUACUUUACUAAGCUAAGGCGUAAGGACAAGAGGACGUUGACCCUAGAUGUCCUGAAGGCAGAAAGGAAAUGCUCCUGGGGCAGCACUUUGAUUAGCUUCCUUAAGCAAAUCUAUGUGGGAUCACAACAUUUGCAUGUGGUUCACAUUAUUUGCUCUUCCUAUUCAAAUAUCAGAUGCAAAUCCUAGGAGUUUUCGUUUGGGCACCUAGGGCUGUCUCAGAAACCUUUACCGACGGGGCUCUGCUCUUUCUACGAGAAAUAUUUUUUUUCAAGUCUUAUCCAUAAAGAUAAUAUAUGAUCAACCACAGGUGGGUCCUCAAUGGCUCUACAUCUGCACGAUUCUGAGAUUUUGCCUGCUUAGUAAAUCCUAAAUUAAAAAGAUUGUGGCACCAAUCCCCAACUUGGUGACAGGCAAAGGAGAUUAUGUUAGUUUUUAAAUCUAGCAUCACGGAGCCAAAAAACAUCAACAAUUUGAGGAAGACCAAGAGCUAAGCACUGUUGUCAUACACAACUCCAAAUAAUAUUACUCCUUGUUUGAGUAUUUACAGUUUAAAGUCAAUGUAGUUGAAUUGAAUAGGUUUAAUCAAUGUUGCUUUGGAGAGUUUUACAUACCGAAAUAAUCAAUUAAUCGCAAUUUAAAAUGAACUCGGUCAUUUCAAUUACGGUGAUUAAUAUUUUUUGAAGGGCAAAAAUAUUAAUCACCAGUUGUUUCAUAGCUUCAGCUGCAAGUGGUUUUUAUUUGUUUAAUUUAUUGUUUUUGGUUGGCAUGUUUUAUGUUGGAUAUUUACAAUAUCUCACACAAAAGGUUAUUGGUGUAAUUUAUGGUGGUAAUUUAUUAUUUUAUUGUCACUCAUAAUGCCUCCAUUUCAUUUUUUUUCUCUUAUAAGCUUGAACCAUGACUAAACACAUCAACAGCUCCAGGUAGAGGGGUCAGACCGCAACAUUUCCUUCUAUUCAGCUGGCACAUUGUGGUGUUUCUGAGAAUUUAUGCUUGAAUACGGUGAAACUUCCACUUUGGUUCUCAAUGGUCCGACUCCUGCCAAGUGGACAGAAAAUAGUAAAGUGACCCUUUGCCUCUUUCCCUCCCAGGAAAGGCCUUUUUCUGUUUCUUCCUGGUUGCCACAGAAACACUUCUGUACUCUGAACUGUCCAAACAACACCGCAGAAGAGAAGUGCAGGGAAAUGUUUUAAUCUCCAAAAAAGAAGAAAUCCUGCAUACAAUAUCAGGAUUUUCAUGACUAAAACUAGCAGAUGCUAAUACUUGGCUAUUUACAAGUAGGUAACCGAUUCUGAAAGUGAAUCUACUUAAAAACUCCAAAAGAGAGCUUUCACACAGGUUUCCUACAAAUUUCCCAUUUCAAAAUUUUACGUUUCCACACUAAACCUUCUAGAUUUUUAUGUUAGUUUCUAAUCACAUUAGCCACAAAAACAUUCACCAAGUUUUUUUUUUUUUUUUUUUUUUUCCUUUACUCCCAUCAAAUCAUAAGAUAGCACAUUUUGGAAGCUGCCUUUCAAUUUUGCAGUGUGGUAAAGGGCUGUUUCACUGCUUCUGGCAUCUGGACAAACUUCAGAUCGGUAAAAUGUCCUAAUACUGGAGGAGUGCUGAAAAACAGAUCCCACAUUUGGCAUUUAAAACCAAGCACAUGUAAAGAAAAGAAAGAAAACUCUGGUUUAGAACACAAACGUAACAAGAAUCUAAAGCUCAAAAAAGCAAUAAAAGUUUGUUGUUGUUUCUUUUGCUUUCGUUAGCAACUCAAAACCCAAAACGAUCGACAAGUUGGACAAUAACUACAUUUUCAAUCUGGCAAACAAAGACGACCUUCAUCUAGACAUAAAUGAAUGUAAAAACAGAUUUGAAAGAGGAUCAAAUCAAAUUCCAGACUGCACAGGAACAAUGUUCCCACCACUUAAACACAAAGUAGCUGUGCUGACUGUUUGCUCAGCGUACAGAGCCAAAUAUAUUGCAGACAGCAGUGGUGGCGACGGAGGAUUAACGUAAUAUGAAAACUAAAUAAAUAAGCCAAAAAUUGUACCUGGCCUAAGAAGCUAAUGAGGAAAUUAUGGCAUCUUGUGAUCAGCAAGUCUACAUGUAGAAACAAGUAGAGAAGCCAUACCUUCAACUGCUCUGAUCUACCACUGAUAUGCUGAACAAUGUGCUUAGUGAGUUUACAUCAAGUGUUAUCAAAGAUGUUAUGAGAGAGCACAAACUGUGCAGCGUGUGGCUGGCUGUGAUCAUGUUGCAGCAUGUAGUUUUACACAGAAACAUACAAUUUUGUAACAGCAAUAAGAGCAAAACUCCCAACAUUGUUUCAUCAGACAGACUCCUUGCACUUUGGGCUUUACUUCACCGAGGUCUGCAUACGUUGGUUGAAAAGGCAAGACAACCGCAGAGUCAUCACAGGAUCAUAUGUUUUAUUAGUUAUUGCAUGCUGCGUAACAUUGUGAUAAAAGUGCAUUUUUUAAGACCUUAUAGUUGGUGUUCAGGUAUUAAUCUUCCAAUAACACAUAAUAACCAAGUGAUAUUUUCAAAUUUCCUGUCAACAUUAACUAUUUUUUAACUCAAAAACACGACGUGCCGCUGGAUGAAAGACUGUGGAGUGCCCCAACCAGCGGGCUUAGCAGGUUUUCUGGGGGAAACUUUGCAUGUCUUAUGUUGUUCAUCUAUUUUUUGUUCUCUGGAUGGGCUCUACUGAAACAACAAUGUGAACAAUGAAAAUAAAGGCUGAUUCUGAAGACCACAGAUGCUCACAUUUUCAGCUUCAUCGGAAAUGCAAUUCUUUUCCAAUCAGUGAAUGCACCAUAUCUAAACACUGGUAACGGUACUCUUCAGUGUGGACGCUGUUACCAAGAGAGGACGACUGAGCGCCAUCUUCAGUAUCAGUAAGGUGCAUAAAAUGAAGUCAUAAGACACUUAAUUCCUCUGUGCUGAUGAAAGGAUUUUUGUUCUUAUUUUUUUUUUUUUUUUUUACUUUCUGACAGUUGUUAAGAUUAAGAUGCGUAAUCAUGGCAUCAAAGUAUUGUUUUUACAACUAUGGGAGCAACUGACUGGCAUCUCAAAAGUUCAAACAACACCUGAACUUCAACCCCAAGUAGCAGAGGAGAUGAACAGAAGGUUUCAUGGAUGCAGAGCGGGAUUAAAGAACAGCAGGAGGAGAAAGAUCAAACAAUCUCUUCCAUCAUUCAUAAUAAGCAAGGAUCAUAUCCCAGACUCCAACAUCUCUUUGCCCGGCUUUAAAGAUUUACAGCAAAGCAUAGACUUAAAAAGGAGCAGCAAAGGCAAAUGAGGUGGAUUAGCAAUGCCUGCCGUCAGCUGACGGUGUCAUGUUACUGUGGAAUAUUGGAAUAUUGUCUUGCUAUAGUGUCAUGACCGUCAUGUUUACUGUUAAUCACUUUGCAAAACUUUGGUCUAAAGGACAUUUUAGAAUGUAAAUACUCAUGCACAUAUACGUUACUGAACAUCUGAAUUGCAUACACUUCUUUUUCUUCUUCUGUCCCUGCCCUCCUCCAAGCUGACAUCUUAGUUUAUACUAUCUUUCUAAGUUGUUUAAAAAAAAAAAAAAAAAA
Long non-coding RNA from Poecilia latipinna (sailfin molly), 4694 nucleotides. RefSeq lists it as uncharacterized. The record is from RefSeq and is a predicted model, not a curated record. The transcript is spliced from 2 exons. Lineage: Eukaryota; Metazoa; Chordata; Actinopteri; Cyprinodontiformes; Poeciliidae.